This is a long non-coding RNA of Schistocerca piceifrons (Central American locust), 718 nucleotides long. RefSeq lists it as uncharacterized. NCBI's taxonomy places the organism in Eukaryota, Metazoa, Arthropoda, Insecta, Orthoptera, Acrididae. The record is from RefSeq and is a predicted model, not a curated record. The transcript has 2 exons.
ACGGUUUAUAUUAUCAUUAUCGUACAUAUUAACUUACAAAUCUUGUCAGUAAUGACAACUGCGUUGUUAUUGCGCGUAUUUUUUUAUUUAUGAUUUGAGUCAAUAAAAUUCGGCGAAAAUUCAAUGUAUCUACAGAUUAUGUGUACAUCACUUUUGACAAUGGAAACACACCAACAGUUCAGACAUUUUUCCCAGUAGAUGGCCUCAUCCUGUUUUGUAAUACAUAGAAUGGUAGCAUUUGCAAAUGCCUCUGUGUAUUAAUUAUGUGGGUUUGCCUGGAUAUUUCUUAAUGCCAGUGGUAGGCACAGUAAUAUAAGUGUGGCAGACUCCAUAAUUUAUUUCCUGUAGAUUUACUAUACAAAUGCCUUCAUACUCAGAGGCUCUUAUUAAGGUAAAUGAGCACAGGAAAUGCUGUACUGCUUCAACAGGAAACUGAAGUUAAAUGGCUCCAUUUGGUGAUGGCGCCAUUUGGUGAUGAAGGAAGUGCUGCUUCAGCAUGAUUUCAUGCCAGUACAGUCAUUUGGAGGUGUUGCAUUAUGAACUGCUGUUGCUACCCCCUAUUCCCCUGACCUUGAAAUUUGAUUGAUUACAAACAUUAAAAAUGUGGUCAUUGUCAAAACAUAAGUCUAUUCUAGAGCCCUUGACAUUUCCUGUUUCUUUAAGGGAACGAGGUUAAAAGUGAUCGAGGUUUGGGAAAAUAUAUAUCUGUAAAAUGGGA